Molecule: long non-coding RNA, 1530 nt
Organism: Cornus florida
Lineage: Eukaryota; Viridiplantae; Streptophyta; Magnoliopsida; Cornales; Cornaceae
Exons: 2
Source: RefSeq, a predicted model, not a curated record
CAUCUGCGAAAUUAAAUGAUAAGAAAAAGGUGAUUGUGAUUGCAGGACCCACGGCUAGGAAUUGUUUGGCCAAAAUUCCUUUAGCUUUGUCCUUUCACCUGGGCUAUUUGUGGAUUUGUGUGGUGAGGGUUGUUCUAUUGGUGGAAUAUUGCCUAUAUGUAUAUUGUGUAUCUUGUGACUUUGGGAAUGAUACAAAGAGUGAAUGAUAUUGAAAUCACACAAUAAAUCGAGAGUUCACAGAGAGAGACGAGAGUUUGCAGAGAGUGAGCUGAGAGUUUGAGGACAGAGAGAGGUCCGAGGUUACAGAGGAGGCUGGAGGCUUGAAGCUUUGAUGAUCUAGUGAGGAAAAUUCUUUUUCAGGGACAUGUGAAAGAAGUGGCGGGUGACGUUCCACCACAAGCCUAAUUUGGAUUAGAGGAUCAUUUUGCUAUUUUUGUAUCUAAGUCCCAUCAUUUUUUUUUUUUGUAAAAUCUUACUUUUUUAUAUUCGAUAUAGAGACUUAUGGACUCUUGUUAUUGUAAUUAUAUUCAUGGGCAAUAACUUUAAUAUAAGUUGUCUAAACGUUGUAAGACAUGGACUUUUGAUCUUAACCAUAAUUUUUUGGACUGUAACUAUGAUAUUUGGACUAAAUGGUAUCAAAGCAUUUUAUGAGAAUUUUCGGGUCGUGACAUCAUCAGUUUCGCCAUCGUGGGUAAGACGACCUAUCUUCGCCGUAGAUCGAAGAUUUGCGUAUUGGGGAGCACCUUUGCAGAUAGAGAGAGUAUGUCGAAAUGGCCAUGGAAGGUGGACUCUAGCUGCGGGAGUGGUCAAGGCUUAUUUGAGAUUUUGAUCCCCGGCACAUAGAUCAAUAUUCCUUCUCCAGCAGAACCGCGAUGGUGAGUAAUUUACUGCCGACGGCCACAUCGGUGAACCGUCUUAGGGAAUCGCCGAUUAGCACCCCGAUCAUGGAAGUGGUCUUCGUCAUUUAUAGUUUGAUUAUAGGUGGUGGGUCUUUGGGCUCAUUGCAAUAGUUGAAGAAGAAGAAGGGUAGGUCUUCGUCACCACAAUCCGAUGAAGAUCAAAUCAGUCCGAAUUGAUUCACAAAAUUCCACAAACCCUAGGGUUCGAAAUCGACGUAUUGUUUGGUGAAGAAGAUGCCCCUAAAGUGUAAUAGGUUAGAAAAGGAGGUUGAUCAAUUCAAGGAAGCUCGGAGAAAUGGUGGUAACGGUGGUAGGAUCCCCAAAAUACAUAAUAUAUAUAUAUAUAUAUAUAUAUAUAUAUAUAUAUAUAUAUAGUGAAAAUUAAGGUUUGUGAUUUGUAAAAAAGGAGAGAUAAUAUGGGGUUGGUGGCCUUGGUGGUAGAGAAUAGAGAGAAAUGGUGGCUAUUGUGGAGCUUUGCGGUGGUGGUAUGGAGGAUGAAUAGACAAGAGGUGGUGGUGUGCAAAACGAGUCACUGUUUAUUGUCCUUUUUAGUCUUUUUACAAAAUUUUGUAUUUUUAUAUAUUUUAUAAAAUUGUUGACUAAGGGUACUUUAGUCAAGUUUGAUUUUAAA